GUGGGCAAAGUUGACCCACCAUUGAUUUUGGAUCCUGCGGAUCUCUCUCUGUGCUUCACUCUUGGCCGCCCGGUUUUCGGCAAACCAAUCGGGAUUUCUCCUCUUCUGGAUAACGAGGACCUCUUCCGCGGAUUUGGCGCGAUCUUCAGCCUAAGUCUUGAGGCUACCAGCCUGUGAUCGG
Molecule: long non-coding RNA, 181 nt
Organism: Hippocampus zosterae (dwarf seahorse)
Lineage: Eukaryota; Metazoa; Chordata; Actinopteri; Syngnathiformes; Syngnathidae
Exons: 3
Source: RefSeq, a predicted model, not a curated record